GCACAACGCGAAGAACCUUACCUAGGCUUGACAUGCAUCUCUAAGCGCGUGAAAGCGCGUGACCCUUCGGGGGAUUUGCACAGGUGCUGCAUGGCCGUCGUCAGCUCGUGUCGUGAGAUGUUGGGUUAAGUCCCGCAACGAGCGCAACCCUUGUGACUAGUUGCCAGCACGUUAUGGUGGGAACUCUAGUCAGACUGCCCAGAUCAACUGGGAGGAAGGUGGGGACGACGUCAGGUCAGUAUGGCCCUUACGCCUAGGGCUGCACACGUACUACAAUGCCCAGCACAAUGAGAACCGAGACCGCGAGGUGGAGGAAAUCUAAAAAACUGGGCCCAGUUCGGAUUGGAGGCUGCAACUCGCCUCCAUGAAGUUGGAAUCGCUAGUAAUGGCGCAUCAUCUACGGCGCCGUGAAUACGUUCCCGGGUCUUGUACACACCG
Molecule: ribosomal RNA, 438 nt
Filed under: uncultured bacterium
Lineage: Bacteria
Description: bacterial SSU rRNA
Rfam family: Bacterial small subunit ribosomal RNA
Source: RNAcentral